Molecule: long non-coding RNA, 241 nt
Organism: Parus major (Great Tit)
Lineage: Eukaryota; Metazoa; Chordata; Aves; Passeriformes; Paridae
Exons: 2
Source: RefSeq, a predicted model, not a curated record
UGCUCCUCUUCCUUCUCCUCCUUUUCCUCCUCCUCCUCCUCGCCCCCUGCCCGCAGGUAGGCGUGGAACUGCUCCUUGGAGGGUUGUUUUCAAGCAGUAAAUGCAAGGACUGGCUGCACAGUGCUGAAGGGAUGAACCAGCUCUCGCUCAUGAGCCGCCUGGAGCCUUCCAGCCACCCUCGCCUUCGGCCCGUGGGUGGAAGUUUGGGCUGAAAACCAAAUAAACCAAAUAAACACGUCAA